CACCGCGGUUAUACGAGAAGCCCAAGUUGACAAGCCAACGGCAUAAAAAGUGGUUAGUAUCUUAUUUAACUAAAGCCAAACACCUUCAAAGUCGUUAUACACUACUGAAGGAGGGAAGUUCCCCCACGAAAGUGGCUUUAAACUAUACAACCCCACGAAAGCUAGGAAA
Molecule: ribosomal RNA, 169 nt
Filed under: Paratrypauchen microcephalus (comb goby)
Lineage: Eukaryota; Metazoa; Chordata; Actinopteri; Gobiiformes; Gobiidae
Description: partial 12S rRNA
Source: RNAcentral